This 474-nucleotide ribosomal RNA is filed under the name soil bacterium 3V-07. RNAcentral's name for it is "bacterial SSU rRNA". It matches the Rfam family "Bacterial small subunit ribosomal RNA", at positions 27 to 483 of the family's 1533-position model. The record is from RNAcentral.
GGAUGAACGCUGGCGGCGUGCNUAAUACAUGCAAGUCGAGCGAACUGAUUAGAAGCUUGCUUCUAUGACGUUAGCGGCGGACGGGUGAGUAACACGUGGGCAACCUGCCUGUAAGACUGGGAUAACUUCGGGAAACCGAAGCUAAUACCGGAUAGGAUCUUCUCCUUCAUGGGAGAUGAUUGAAAGAUGGUUUCGGCUAUCACUUACAGAUGGGCCCGCGGUGCAUUAGCUAGUUGGUGAGGUAACGGCUCACCAAGGCAACGAUGCAUAGCCGACCUGAGAGGGUGAUCGGCCACACUGGGACUGAGACACGGCCCAGACUCCUACGGGAGGCAGCAGUAGGGAAUCUUCCGCAAUGGACGAAAGUCUGACGGAGCAACGCCGCGUGAGUGAUGAAGGCUUUCGGGUCGUAAAACUCUGUUGUUAGGGAAGAACAAGUACGAGAGUAACUGCUCGUACCUGACGGUACCUACC